AGGAAGUGGUAAGAGAAAAAGAAUAGGAUUACUUUGUUAUCCUAUAACUUUUGGUAAGUAUUUAAUAGACUAAACUUUGUGUAUAUUGAGUAGGGACUGCUGUUUGAUUACUUGAUAAUUUUUUGGUUGACUGAGUUGAUAUUAGUUAUGUUUUUGGCUUGUUAUAAAGUGAAUUGAUUGUGAUGUGUUGUGAAGUGAAUUGAUUGUGAUGUGUUGUGAAGUGAAAUGAUUGUGAUUAAGGAUUGAUGACUUUUGUAUGGAUAUUGUGUGAUCGGGAAAGCUGAGCCGGGCGGAUAGCUACCCGAGUAUGUGAGAUGGCAAGACUGAGCCGGGCGGAUAGUCUUGUCAAGUGGUUACUGAAAUUUAAAAAUGUGAGGAAAUGUAAGGAUGAGUCAUCUGAUCCUA
This 405-nucleotide long non-coding RNA is filed under the name Ricinus communis (castor bean). RNAcentral describes it as "long non-coding RNA (RCOM_LNC000458)". Lineage: Eukaryota; Viridiplantae; Streptophyta; Magnoliopsida; Malpighiales; Euphorbiaceae. The record is from RNAcentral.